This is a long non-coding RNA of Oncorhynchus tshawytscha (Chinook salmon), 357 nucleotides long. NCBI's taxonomy places the organism in Eukaryota, Metazoa, Chordata, Actinopteri, Salmoniformes, Salmonidae. The record is from Ensembl.
GAGGAGGUGCAGCAUGAGGUAAUACAGUAGGGGGAGUGCUGCUCAGUGUGAGGUAAUACAGUAGGGGGAGUGCUGCUCAGCGUGAGGUAAUACAGUAGGGGGAGUGCUGCUCAGCGUGAGGUAAUACAGUAGGGGGGAGGGCUUCUCAAAUGGAAUGUUUUAUGCGUACUCAAGAGAAUGUCCUCGGGAAAAUGCACUAGAAGCAUGAGAGUGUGGAACACGGUAAUAUGCAUAUUGAGAAACACCCAGUGACUCAGGGGAGCACGGUAAUAUGCAUAUUGAGAAACACCCAGUGACUCAGGGGAGCACGGUAAUAUGCAUAUUGAGAAACACCCAGUGACUCAGGGGAGCACGGUA